CGGACGGGUGAGUAAUGUCUGGGAAACUGCCCGAUGGAGGGGGAUAACCACUGGAAACGGUAGCUAAUACCGCAUAACGUCGCAAGACCAAAGAGGGGGACCUUCGGGCCUCUUGCCAUCGGAUGUGCCCAGAUGGGAUUAGCUAGUAGGUGGGGUAACGGCUCACCUAGGCGACGAUCCCUAGCUGGUCUGAGAGGAUGACCAGCCACACUGGAACUGAGACACGGUCCAG
Molecule: ribosomal RNA, 232 nt
Filed under: uncultured bacterium
Lineage: Bacteria
Description: partial 16S ribosomal RNA
Rfam family: Bacterial small subunit ribosomal RNA
Source: RNAcentral